UCUCCGUUGGUGAACCAGCGGGGGGAUCAUUACCGAGUGCAAACUCAUAACCCUUUGUGAACCUAUAUCUGUUGCUUCGGCGGCUCGCUCUCGGGCGAGCCCGCCGGUAAUAUCAGUAUCUCUGUUUGAACCCGACGAUACUUCUGAGUGUUCUUAGCGAACAGUUAAAACUUUUAACAACGGAUCUCUUGGCUCUA
Molecule: unclassified non-coding RNA, 197 nt
Filed under: plant metagenome
Description: partial contains small subunit ribosomal RNA, internal transcribed spacer 1, and 5.8S ribosomal RNA
Source: RNAcentral